GUGAGAGUGAAAUAAAUCAGAUCCUUUGUUUUUUUUUCUUUUUGUAAAAGAGUUAAGAUCUUUUCUUUGGUGAAGAGAAUGUCAGGGCAACCUCAACGGACAAGAUGUUUAAAUGAGGUUCUUAAUAAUUUUAUAUUUAUAUUUUAGUUCACUUUUUAUUUUACAAUUAAAUUUCAUUGUUUAUGAUGUAAUCUAACCAUUAAUAAAACGAUAUAUAUGAAAGAGGGUAUCACAUAAGGUUCUAAUAAAUACUUAUUUGAGAUCUGAUAUAUAUCUAAUUUUUUUUCUCUAAUUUUUUUAUUUUUUCUUAAUUGUUUAUUGUUGAGAUAUCCACAUAUGACUCAUAUUUAGAGACUAUACCUUUUCAGAUGAAGUAUGAAAAAG
Molecule: long non-coding RNA, 384 nt
Filed under: Brassica rapa (field mustard)
Lineage: Eukaryota; Viridiplantae; Streptophyta; Magnoliopsida; Brassicales; Brassicaceae
Description: long non-coding RNA (BRAP_LNC001362)
Source: RNAcentral